This is an RNA transcript of Ostrea edulis (European flat oyster), 1901 nucleotides long. It is a transcript of the gene named cell division cycle protein 123 homolog, with no coding region annotated. Lineage: Eukaryota; Metazoa; Mollusca; Bivalvia; Ostreida; Ostreidae. The record is from RefSeq and is a predicted model, not a curated record. The transcript is spliced from 13 exons.
UACGAAUCUUAUGCCCCAUGUGGUUUUGUUGUGAUUUUCAUUUGUUGACAGCCGUUAAUUCCAUGGUAUUUAUGAUUGCUGUCCGAUUGACCUCGUACUUCUGUGGAAUGAGAUUAAUGUGAGACGCUCAGCUACUUCAACACCGACAGGGAUCCAGAGAGAGGACCAUUUAGACUCAAGGGAAGUUCUGUUUUCCACUCCAACAAGCCCAGGGACAAGGAUUGCAUCAGAUUCCAGAGAUUAGUAAUAGAGUGAAGAAAGAUACGAAGACCAAUUAUGAAGAUUUCAGAAGUUUUACAUUGCAGUUUCCCAGUCUGGUACCCAAAAUUUAAGCACAUUUCAAUCAAAAGCAUAUUGAUACCCUUGCCUGGGGAAUUCUUGGAGUACCUACACACCGACGGUGUUGUGUUGCCAGAAGGGUGUCUGGUGACGUCAGAAGACAGAGAUUCGGAUGAAGAUAGAGUAGGAGAGGAGCUGGAUGUUGACUGGGACAGCGAUACUGUAGAAGCUACUGCACCAAGCUUUCCAGAAUUUGAUGCAGCAAUUAAGAAGGCCAUCAAGAUGUUGGGUGGUAAAGUGUUCCCCAAACUCAACUGGAGCUCUCCUAGGGAUGCCACGUGGAUUGCAUUCGACAAAAGUUUAAAAUGUACCUGUCCCAGUGAUGUGUACUUAUUACUGAAAAGUUCAGAGUUCAUCACCCAUGACCUUACUCAGCCGUUUAUUCAGUGCGAGGAUUUUGAUGAGAGGGAUGACCAGACAGACGUGGGAUACAGCUUGAUACUCAGACGAUGGCAGGACUUAAACCCGGGGUAUGAGUUCAGAUGUUUUGUUCGGAUGAAUACACUUAUAGCAAUAUGUCAGAGAAACCACACUGCAUUUUAUGAUUUCAUUAGACACGAAAAAGAGGACAUUGUAUCAGACAUUCGGUCCUUCUUCUAUCACAUGAUUCAUUUGAAGUUUCCCAAUGAGAGCUAUGUCUUUGAUGUUUACAGGAGAGACCAGGGGAAGUUACUCCUGUUGGACUUUAAUCCGUUUGGAGUUGUGACAGAUGGUUUGAUGUUUACAUGGGAUGAACUGACUGACAGUGAUACAAACCUCAGGGGUACAGACAACGAAACACAGGUAAAUAUAGUGGAUCAGACAAACACAGGUAAAUAUAGUGGAUUAUCAGACAAACACAGGUAAAUAUAGUGGAUUAUCAGACAAACAUAGGUAGAUAUAGUGGAUUAUCAGACAAACACAGGUAAAUAUAGUGGAUUAUCAGACAAACACGAGUAAAUAUAGUGGAUUAUCAGACAAACACGAGUAAAUAUAGUGGAUUAUCAGACAAACACAGGUAGAUAUAGUGGAUUAUCAGACAAACACAGGUAGAUAUAGUGGAUUAUCAGACAAUGAAACACAGGUAAAUAUAGUGGAUUAUCAGACAAUGAAACACAGGUAGAUAUAGUGGAUUAUCAGACAAUUAAACACAGGUAAGCUGUUAAAUAUGCUGGGAUGAUAGAAAACAGAAACACAGGAAAUUGUUGUGAGUUAAUCGUACUACAUCAUCAGAUACUCACAGCUGAUCUCGUGAGUAAAAGACCAGUAGAAGAUGAGAUCAGCUGUUGGUGUCCUGUGAUGAUCAUACUAGAGAAUACAUGUAAUUAUGGUGCAAGGAAAUGCAGGUUAGAAAAUUAUCCUUAACCUCCGUAAAUGGAUUAAAGCAUUCUAACAUUUCACUGCAUGUAUAAAAUUACUUUAUGAAUGUUCUGUUGAGUUUCAUAUUUUAGAGUUCAAUUGCAUUAAAAACUAUUUUGUCCAUUACCAUUAUUUUUUAUAAAACAGCAAACUAUGACUUGUUUUCAUAUUUGAUUAUCACUCAUCUGAUCAUAUCAUGCACCGUUAUGUAAAAAAAAGUGUAC